RNAcentral lists this ribosomal RNA (403 nucleotides) under Streptococcus sp. VMC1. RNAcentral describes it as "bacterial SSU rRNA". It matches the Rfam family "Bacterial small subunit ribosomal RNA", at positions 119 to 500 of the family's 1533-position model. Lineage: Bacteria; Bacillati; Bacillota; Bacilli; Lactobacillales; Streptococcaceae. The record is from RNAcentral.
AGGUUAUCAAUAGGGGGCGACGGGGGAUAACUAUUUGGAAACGAUAGCUAAUACCGCAUAACAGCAUUAAACCCAUGUUAGAUGCUUGAAAGGAGCAAUUGCUUCACUAGUAGAUGGACCUGCGUUGUAUUAGCUUAGUUGGUGAGGUAACGGCUCACCAAGGCGACGAUACAUAGCCGACCUGAGAGGGUGAUCGGCCACACUGGGACUUGAGACACGGCCCAAGACUCCUACGGGAGGCAGCAGUAGGGAAUCUUCGGCAAUGGGGGCAACCCUGACCGAGCAACGCCGCGUGAGUGGAAGAAGGUUUUCGGGAUCGUAAAGCUCUGUUGUAAGAGAAGAACGUGUGUGAGAGUGGAAAGUUCACACAGUGACGGUAACUUACCAGAAAAGGGACGGCUAA